CUUAACUUUUCUUCCUACUAUCCACUCUCUCAUAUCAAUAUGAUAACAAUUACAUCAUCGAUUUCAGUACCCUGUGUAAUUCACAAACUUACAAGCACAACCCAAACCCUGAAACGAACAACUUCGAAUCCACAAAAUCUGAUCGAGACAAUUCCUUCGAUUACAAUUCCUCUCCACUGAACUUACAACCUUACGAUAAACAGUGGCUGGAAACUUCCAUACAUCAUCAAUCUUUCACAACAAUUGAUAAACAGUGAUCCAUAAACAACUUUGUAAAUCAAACAUUGAUUCAUUAAAUCAAUCAUUUUCACUAGAAUCAACACUAACACAAAAGAAAAAAGAAAACUAAGAAGAAAAGAUAGCACCAAGCUUAUUCUCGACUCAAUACUAUCACAGUUUGGCAUUUUCUUCCCCUCUCCCAUCCUCCUUAUACUACCCCGAGAUACCAAGUCCUAUACUACAGAUGAUAACUACUUUUUCUGACUAUUCAUCCAUUCUAUCUGUUGAACCACCUUUUCAACAAUUAUCUAUCCCUAUUUACACUAUACACUAGGUAUCUACAUUCUGAAAAUAACUACUUAUUCUACCUAGCUCCACUCCUAACUAAACAGUGUCCCCGCAAAUACAGUAUUGAUAAACAAAAACCAAUCCCUUUUUUUUUUAACUGGAUUAUUCAAUCUCUUCGAUUUCUGGCGCCGAUUCCAUUUGGUCUUGUUCCAAUACUAUAUCU
This 730-nucleotide long non-coding RNA is filed under the name Physcomitrium patens. RNAcentral's name for it is "long non-coding RNA (PPAT_LNC002994)". The record is from RNAcentral. Lineage: Eukaryota; Viridiplantae; Streptophyta; Bryopsida; Funariales; Funariaceae.